UACGUAGGGGGCAAGCGUUGUCCGGAAUCAUUGGGCGUAAAGAGCGCGUAGGCGGCCCUGUAAGUCCGCUGUGAAAGUCAAGGGCUCAACCCUUGAAUGCCGGUGGAUACUGCAGGGCUAGAGUCCGGAAGAGGCGAGUGGAAUUCCUGGUGUAGCGGUGAAGUGCGCAGAUAUCAGGAGGAACACCGAUGGCGAAGGCAGCUCGCUGGGACGGUACUGACGCUGAGGCGCGAAAGCGUGGGGAGCAAACAGG
This 253-nucleotide ribosomal RNA is filed under the name uncultured bacterium. Its description in RNAcentral is "partial 16S ribosomal RNA". It matches the Rfam family "Bacterial small subunit ribosomal RNA", at positions 524 to 776 of the family's 1533-position model. The record is from RNAcentral.